Molecule: ribosomal RNA, 654 nt
Filed under: uncultured archaeon
Lineage: Archaea
Description: bacterial SSU rRNA
Rfam family: Archaeal small subunit ribosomal RNA
Source: RNAcentral
GCCUAUAGCGUCCGUAGCCGGCUUUGUAAGUUUUCGGUUAAAUCCAUAUGCUCAACAUAUGGGCCGCCGGGAAUACUGCAAAGCUAGGGAGUGGGAGAGGUAGACGGUACUCCGUAGGAAGGGGUAAAAUCCUUUGAUCUAUGGAUGACCACCUGUGGCGAAGGCGGUCUACCAGAACACGUCCGACGGUGAGGGAUGAAAGCUGGGGGAGCAAACCGGAUUAGAUACCCGGGUAGUCCCAGCUGUAAACUAUGCAAACUCAGUGAUGCAUUGGCUUGUGGCCAGUGCAGUGCCGCAGAGAAGUCGUUAAGUUUGCCGCCUGGGAAGUACGUACGCAAGUAUGAAACUUAAAGGAAUUGGCGGGGGAGCACCACAAGGGGUGAAGCCUGCGGUUCAAUUGGAGUCAACGCCAGAAAUCUUACCCGGAGAGACAGCAGGAUGAAGGUCAAGCUGAAGACUUUACCAGACAAGCUGAGAAGUGGUGCAUGGCCGUCGCCAGCUCGUGCCGUGAGGUGUCCUGUUAAGUCAGGUAACGAGCGAGAUCCUUGCCUCUAGUUGCCACCAUUACUCUCAGGAGUAGUGGGGCGAAUUAGCGGGACUGCCGUAGUUAAUACGGAGGAAGGAGAGGGCCACGGCAGGUCAGUAUGCCCCGAA